RNAcentral lists this ribosomal RNA (459 nucleotides) under uncultured bacterium. RNAcentral describes it as "partial 16S ribosomal RNA". It matches the Rfam family "Bacterial small subunit ribosomal RNA", at positions 338 to 795 of the family's 1533-position model. The record is from RNAcentral.
CCUACGGUGAGCAGCAGUGAGGAAUAUUGGUCAAUGGGCGGGAGCCUGACCCAGCCAAGCCGCGUGAGCGCAGAAGGUACAGCGUAUCGUAAACCUCUUUUGUCAGGGAACAAAGGCGGGGACUAGUCCCCGGCUGAGGGUACCUGAAGAAAAAGCAUCGGCUAACUCCGUGCCAGCAGCCGCGGUAAUACGGAGGAUGCGAGAGUUAUCCGGAUUUAUUGGGUUGAAAGGGUGCGCAGGCGGCCUGUUAAGUCAGCGGUAAAAGCCCGGGGCUCAACCCCGGCGAGCCGUUGAAACGGGCGGGCUUGAGUUGGAGAGAAGUACGCGGAAUGCGCGGUGUAGCGGUGAAAUGCUUAGAUAUCGCGCAGAACCCCGAUUGCGAAGGCAGCGUACCGGCUCCACACUGACGCUGAGGCACGAAAGCGUGGGUAUCGAACAGGAUUAGAUACCCGAGUAGUC